RNAcentral lists this ribosomal RNA (483 nucleotides) under uncultured bacterium. RNAcentral's name for it is "partial 16S ribosomal RNA". It matches the Rfam family "Bacterial small subunit ribosomal RNA", at positions 28 to 523 of the family's 1533-position model. The record is from RNAcentral.
GACGAACGCUGGCGGCGUGCCUAACACAUGCAAGUCGAACGGGGUAGAGGCCUUCGGGCUUCUGCUUAGUGGCGAACGGGUGAGUAACGCGUGAGAAACCUGCCUUUCAGUGGGGGACAACAGUUGGAAACGACUGCUAAUACCGCAUAAUGUAUUCGGGGGGCAUCCCUUGAAUACCAAAGCUUAAUGUGACUGAAAGAUGGUCUCGCGUCUGAUUAGCUAGAUGGCGGGGUAACGGCCCACCAUGGCGACGAUCAGUAGCCGGUCUGAGAGGAUGAACGGCCACAUUGGGACUGGGAUACGGCCCAGACUCCUACGGGAGGCAGCAGUGGGGAAUAUUGGGCAAUGGGGGAAACCCUGACCCAGCAACGCCGCGUGAAGGAAGAAGGCCUUCGGGUUGUAAACUUCUUUUAGCAGGGACGAAGAACGUGACGGUACCUGCAGAAAAAGCAACGGCUAACUACGUGCCAGCCGCCGCGGUAA